GAGAGCCGCCGCCGGUAAGCUUCGAUUUUUCGUAAUUUUUUGGCCCCCCGAGGGCCCUAGGGUUGUUUUAUCGUAAGGACCGAUGCAAGUGUGGCCGAAUUCGGCCGAAAACGGCCAAACCGAGGCGAAUCACCGCCGUUUGCGGCGGCGCCGUCGCCGAAGCACGGCGGAGCCGCCGUGCCGGAAUUGCGAUAUUGGCCAAAAAGGGGCCCUGGGCCUAAUUUGGGAUUUUUUGGAACACGUGCAGGUACCAGUAGUGCGUUUCAAUUCCCCGAAAAAAAUUCAGGGAAAAUUUGGGACAGCCUGUAGGCGCACUGUGAAGCUGUGUUCGGACCCCGAAACGAGUAAGGACCCCUCACCCUAUUUCCUAUCACGGUAUUAAAGUUCAAUAAUGAUGAAACGGUAUUUCUUGAAUCAACGAAUGUGUGAAAUUGCUUAAGGUCGCUAAUGGAGCCCGAGUCUAGUGUGUUUGUCGGUUAACUGUUAUUUGG
This 491-nucleotide long non-coding RNA is filed under the name Carica papaya (papaya). RNAcentral's name for it is "long non-coding RNA (CPAP_LNC007183)". Lineage: Eukaryota; Viridiplantae; Streptophyta; Magnoliopsida; Brassicales; Caricaceae. The record is from RNAcentral.